Molecule: ribosomal RNA, 436 nt
Filed under: uncultured Fodinibius sp.
Lineage: Bacteria; Pseudomonadati; Balneolota; Balneolia; Balneolales; Balneolaceae
Description: bacterial SSU rRNA
Rfam family: Bacterial small subunit ribosomal RNA
Source: RNAcentral
CAGCAGUGAGGAAUCUUGCGCAAUGGGGGCAACCCUGACGCAGCCACGCCGCGUGCUGGAAGACGGCCCUAUGGGUUGUAAACAGCUUUUGGUCGGGAAGAACCCGGGUCUUUCGAGGCCCGCUGACGGUACCGAUUGAAUAAGCACCGGCUAACUCCGUGCCAGCAGCCGCGGUAAUACGGAGGGUGCAAGCGUUGUCCGGAAUUAUUGGGUGUAAAGGGUGUGCAGGCGGAAGUCUAAGUCGGAGGUGAAAUCUUGCCGCUUAACGGUAAAAGGGCCUUCGAUACUGGAUUUCUUGAGUUCGGAAGAGGUUGGUGGAAUUCGUGGUGUAGCGGUGAAAUGCAUAGAUAUCACGAAGAACACCGGUGGCGAAGGCGGCCAACUGGUCCGAUACUGACGCUGAGACACGAAAGCGUGGGGAGCGAACAGGAUUAGA